This 408-nucleotide ribosomal RNA is filed under the name uncultured bacterium. RNAcentral's name for it is "partial 16S ribosomal RNA". It matches the Rfam family "Bacterial small subunit ribosomal RNA", at positions 28 to 526 of the family's 1533-position model. The record is from RNAcentral.
GACGAACGCUGGCGGCGUGCCUAAUACAUGCAAGUCGAACGAAGUGGCGAACGGGUGAGUAACGCGUAAUCAACCUGCCCUUCAGAGGGGGAACACAGUUGGAAACGACUGCUAAUACCGCAUACUGAAGGAGGGGAUUGCGGCUGAUUAGCUAGUUGGGGGGGUAACGGCCCACCAAGGCGAUGAUCAGUAGCCGGUCGUGUAGGAGUAACGGCCACAUUGGGACGGAGACACGGCCCAGACUUCUACGGGAGGCAGCAGUUGGGAAUCUGCCGCAAUGGACGAAAGUCUGACGGAGCAACGCCGCGUGAGGGAUGACGGCCUUCGGGUUGUAAAGCUCUGUUAAUCGGGACGCGGUACCGGAAUAGAAAGCCACGGCUAACUACGUGCCAGCAGCCGCGGUAAUAC